UUGGAAUUUUUUACGGCAGACUACAGAUGCGAGGCGUUUGUCUAGACCGUUUCAUUAAUCAAGAACGAAAGUGAGAGGUUCGAAGACGAUCAGAUACCGUCCUAGUUCCCACUAUAAACUAUGCCGACCUGGGAUCAGUUUAGUGAUUUACAAGCUCUAGGUUGGUCCCCCUGGGAAACCUCAAGUUUUUCGGUUACGGGGAGAGUAUGGUCGCAAGUCUGAAACUUAAAGGAAUUGACGGAAGGGCACCCCCAGGGGUGGAGCCUGCGGCUUAAUUUGACUCAACACGGGGAAACUUACCUGGUCCGGACAUCGAAAGGAUAGACAGAAUAAUAGAUCUUACUUGAUGCGGUGAGUGGUGGUGCAUGGCCGUUCUUAGUUCGUGGAGUGAUCUGUCAGGUUUAUUCCGGUAACGAACGAGACCACCUUCUCCAUUUAAGAAACAGUAGCAGACUGCUGGCUGAUAGCUAUUUUCGCUAAACGAGUCACGUAGGCUACGCAAGAGAAGGUUACUAAUAUUGAGGAAAGGGUGGGGAUAAAGGGUGACGCUGCUUGCGUUAGGAAUGGAAGGGCCGAGUGCUUCCCCACUGGGACCAGAGUUGCGCGUUACCUUUGCGCUGCCUUAUGGAUAGUCAAAGCCAGAGCAAAGCCGACGAACAGCGACGAGACCCCUCACUUGUGCCCUUCUACACGCGCGCUACAUGCACACGACAUGAUCACCCGGCCGAAGCCGUGCCGAAGAAUAACGUACCAUGAUGGUAUUGACUAUGAAUGUCGAUGUGAAUUCGAAUCCUAUUGUGUCCUUUUUUUACAGUUAUAAAAUGUCCCGUCCUUUCCUCGCUAUCUCUUCUCUUCCGUUUAAUAGCGUGGGAUGUUGAUACGGGUUUUUC
Molecule: ribosomal RNA, 890 nt
Filed under: Myxobolus sp. AG2
Lineage: Eukaryota; Metazoa; Cnidaria; Myxozoa; Bivalvulida; Myxobolidae
Description: bacterial SSU rRNA
Rfam family: Eukaryotic small subunit ribosomal RNA
Source: RNAcentral